Molecule: long non-coding RNA, 453 nt
Organism: Cyprinus carpio (common carp)
Lineage: Eukaryota; Metazoa; Chordata; Actinopteri; Cypriniformes; Cyprinidae
Exons: 4
Source: RefSeq, a predicted model, not a curated record
CUGAUCUGUGUAACCUGCUGUUGGGUGGGAUCGAAACUGUACGAAACAGUAGAUCUCUGGGAACAACACUGAUCACCACCAAGAUGACAUACUCUAUGGACCUUCCACCUUUUUUCUACUUCUGCUCACCAUCCAGAUCAGAGCUUGACCUUUGCCCUUUCUGCUCCAGGCUGACUAUCUGUGACAUCCUGGGAAAACAUUGAUGGCUUUUAAGAACCCACAACCACUUUUCCCAUUAGACUAAGUAUGAUUUGCAGAUUACAGCAAAAUCUGAGAGUCCAAACAGGAUAUGAGAACCAUCUCUCUGCUAACAGCUAAUAGUGUAUGGAUUGAACCUUGAAUGCAAAAUGAUCGACAUUCAGUGGCUGGGGAACAAAGUGAAUGAGAGAUAAUAUGAAGGACACAUGGAUCCAACAGGAUGCAUAUGGAACAAGACUGUGUUUUGGCUCGGAC